GAUGAACGCUGGCGGCGUGCUUAACACAUGCAAGUCGAACGAUGAUGCCCAGCUUGCUGGGUGGAUUAGUGGCGAACGGGUGAGUGACACGUGAGUAACCUGCCCUUGACUCUGGGAUAAGCCUGGGAAACUGGGUCUAAUACCGGAUACGACCAUCUGGCGCAUGUCAUGGUGGUGGAAAGCUUUUGUGGUUUUGGAUGGACUCGCGGCCUAUCAGCUUGUUGGUGGGGUAAUGGCCUACCAAGGCGACGACGGGUAGCCGGCCUGAGAGGGUGACCGGCCACACUGGGACUGAGACACGGCCCAGACUCCUACGGGAGGCAGCAGUGGGGAAUAUUGCACAAUGGGCGCAAGCCUGAUGCAGCGACGCCGCGUGAGGGAUGACGGCCUUCGGGUUGUAAACCUCUUUCAGUAGGGAAGAAGCGAAAGUGACGGUACCUGCAGAAGAAGCGCCGGCUAACUACGUG
RNAcentral lists this ribosomal RNA (467 nucleotides) under uncultured bacterium. RNAcentral's name for it is "partial 16S ribosomal RNA". It matches the Rfam family "Bacterial small subunit ribosomal RNA", at positions 28 to 507 of the family's 1533-position model. The record is from RNAcentral.